UCAAUCUUUUCCCCUUCAUUUCUCAUUACUUCUCUUGCAGAACCACCAGUACCACCUCAUCCAUCUCCCCGACCAAUUCUGCUCUCAACUUCUAUCAUAAACACCAUCAAUUAAGCCUCUAAUUACUAUCUCUCUCAACCUUAGGUUUGAGAGAGAUAGAAUUAGGGUUAUCUUCUCCAACAGCUGGAAGAGUAGGUUUGCAGAGAUGAAAUUGAAGAGGGAAAACGCGUUUUGCCAGGUAAGUGUAAAGCUGAGAACAAAUCAAGGAAAACGAGAAAAGGAGAACAACGCAGCUGUUAGUGGGGCUAAAACCAGUUGGUCAUUCUCGAACCUCAUUAUACUUUAUAUCCGUAUGAAUGAUAAACCAUGAUAGUCUGAUACACUAGCUGCCCUACUGAGCAUUAUACCACACCUGCAAUUUUUGAUAUCCAUAAGCAUGAUUUUGCGAAAUUUGUGAUUUGUGAUUUCACUAAGAACUCCUUAAUCUCGGCAGAACCUCUUUCUGUGUGUAUUCAUCCCUGGAACUGAUUGUCAUCCCUAUAAACAUUACUCUUCUGAGUUGUGACAUUUGCUUGUUUUGUAACCAGUACACCAAUUUGAAUUUGUCUGCAAGAAUCUGAGAACUAGUUUUUCAGUCCCAAAAACAUGAGCCUGUGAUAUUUGAGUUUUGCAUUGGUUAGCUGAGUUUGUUAUUGGCUGUACUAAACUUGAAUGAUUGUGAAUCUCUGAA
Long non-coding RNA from Papaver somniferum (opium poppy), 730 nucleotides. RefSeq lists it as uncharacterized. The transcript has 2 exons. The record is from RefSeq and is a predicted model, not a curated record. NCBI's taxonomy places the organism in Eukaryota, Viridiplantae, Streptophyta, Magnoliopsida, Ranunculales, Papaveraceae.